This is a long non-coding RNA of Bacillus rossius redtenbacheri, 5302 nucleotides long. RefSeq lists it as uncharacterized. Lineage: Eukaryota; Metazoa; Arthropoda; Insecta; Phasmatodea; Bacillidae. The record is from RefSeq and is a predicted model, not a curated record. The transcript has 6 exons.
UCUUUCGAAUAGCUUGUCAGUUUUUUCAACUGUCCUGAAAGUAACUUCAGCGUGAACCAAUAACUUUUGCGGAGGAUAUGGUCAUAGGGAUGUUUAUUUUGAAACUUUGCUUUCGCAAUGUGCGUUUUAGCUAUUGCUUACGAAUAUAGUAUGAAUGACAGCAAUUAUAGGAGUAUUUAUUUAGACACGUAAUUUUGACAGUUGGUGAUUUUGAAAAUAGGUUGUUCCAAAAUUACUACCGUAAAGUUUAUGACUUAUGCUACUUAAAAAUAUUGGUUAAAAAUUUUUUAUGUGGUAAAUAGUGGUAUUUAUUGGGUUUUUAGUGGUUUUUGACGCAGAUAACUUGCGAAAGCCGGUCUGGGAUGACGGUCUUAAAGGAAAUGCGAAUUUCGUGGACUUUCAAGACGAUUCGACGCGACGGACGCGGCCGGCGCGACGGACGCGACGAGAAAGUUAACAUUUUGGGCCGGCGUCGCGUCGCAAAAAUCCCGCGCGAUAGUCGGGGUCGGCCCGGGCGCGCCCGGCAACGGGGCGGCCAUUUUGUCUGGCCGCUGUCCUUGGCGGGUUCAGCGCUCCCCCGCCAGGCGCGCUCGCGUCGCCGCGAAACUUUCGCACAAGGCCGGCUGCGCCGCCAUUUUGUCGGCGCGGCGCUGGCGCGGCUCCCCCCCCCCCUCCCCCUGCCACACCUCCGCCGCAGCGACUUUGCCAGUUUUACUUAAUUUUAACAGCUUUUCGACGGGGAAUCCGCGCACUUUUGCGCCUCGAGGUUGGGAAAACACCCGGGGCGCGCGCCCUGCAUGCUUUUAAGGUCGAUUUUGCGUGGUUUUUGACGUGUUAAUUGCGCCGUGUCGUAUUUGCGAAGGUCGCGGCCGCCGCCGCCGCCUCCCCUCCCCCCUCUCCUGGCUCCACUCCCCCUCCCCUCCCGUCUCCCCGGACUGCGGCCCGCGCCGCCCAGACAGAGACAGCGAAAGUUGUGACGCAAAUGUAUGUUGGUUACCAUGCAGCAGCGGGGAGCUCUGGUCGGCCAGCAGCCAGCAGAUGCGUGCAGGGUCCUGGCUGCGGUGCUCUGCGCAGGAGUCGUGGCGGAGACGUAGCGUGCGUGUCCUGCGAUCUGGUUCUGUGGGGGGAGUUUCUGGUGUCGCUGUGGAGGUUAAGUUCUGCAAGCAACCGAACCUGAUAUUCGGCGCGGGGAAUUCCACGGAGCCGGACUCGGGACAUUUCGGAGCAGCUGGUUGGCAACGCCGAUCCCGAGAUAAAAGUUUCGCAACCUCGGUCCGAGGUGGACGACCGAGCGGGGGGCCCCGGCGCGAGCAUUCCUGAGCGGCCGGACCUUUGGACGGCCCUGGAGCGAGCGCGGCGCGGCUGGCCCGAAAGCGUGCAGGACUGGGUGCUGUUAUCUCUCACCUCAGUGCAGAAGGCGGUGCCAGUCCAUCGCAGACUCACCCUGCCUUGGCUUCCUGAGGUCGUUCCACUCAGAAUAGAGCAGCAAGGACUCUUCACCACCAUAAAAGUGGAUUAGUAUGAGAAUUAAAAGCUGUCCGUGGGUGCCGCUAGAAUUUCUGCAAAGUAGAUGAUCACCAUUCCUGAAGUUCUGUGAGAGGCGCAGCAUGAAGUUUGCGGCACUGCACGGAAACCAAAACAUCAAGACAGCAAGCCUGAGAAGCUCCAAAACAGGUGGAUUUCGAAAGUUGUCGGAUGAGCCUGGAACCAGCUGUGUGCGGCGAGAUUUUCCGGUGACUCGUCAGCACAACUGGUUUGGCUGCCGAGACGAAUAUGCCUUCGUCGGCGAACUAGACGAGAAGAAGCACUGCUGCAUACGGACACGUCACUUACUGCCGAGGAGCAACAGUUGGAAGAGAGAAAACAAACCCACCAUCACAGGUGCGGCUCCCAAGGCAGAGCGAGCAGGGAAUUUUUUACAACCAAAGCUGUAUUAAUUCAAAAUGUAUGUCAUUAAAUUUAAGACCCACAUACACUGGCGUAGCUGUGUUCAUAAAGUUGGGGGGAACAAAUAAUGAUUUUGAUGUCAUGUAAACCCAUUCCCCUCUUACUAAGCCGGGGGGUCCGGGGUCCUCCACAGGAAAAUCUUGAUUUUUAAAGUGCAAAAUAGCGCUUUUUAAGCAGUUUUUGUAUCUAACCAUUGGAUACAUCGAUGUUAAAAUUAUUGUUGUUUCCUUAAGAUAAAAUUUGAUGAGUGAAGAAAUUACAAAUAAAGUUGGGCAGAAUAAUAUUAUAAAAUAAAAAUAUCACUGUCUAGAAAGUUGGGGGGGACAGUCCCCUCCACCCAAAAAGUUCAAGGGGACACGUCCCCCCUGUCCUCCCCCCCUCCGGUUCCUACGCCCCUGCCCACAUACAUUUUAUUACAAUAUCAAUUCAUUCUAAUUUUUACAUGAAAAAAAUUUUGGUUUAGAUAAAUCACCGAAACAAUUGACUACGUUUAAGUACUAGAUGAGCUUUAAAACUUUUUACUGAAGAAUUUAUCUUAAAAAAUUUUCCGGAGGAGUACCCCCAUAAAUAUCUGUAGCUCUGGGGGCUAUUCUAUUCCUCCCCAGGCCCCUAGUAUGGAUACUGUCUGAAUUGUUAGUGUCCCGCAAAAGUUAAUGGCAAAGUCUAGGGCCGUCACACUGUCCACACAUGAAUCCGACCAUAUUAGCAGCUGCAGAACACACCAGAACACACCGUCAAUGAUUUUUGAAAAAACUCUCUACUGACAAACCAUUGUGCUAUGUAGGCUUCAAAAAUUUAAGUUUUAAAUUGUAGGUCAAAGUUAAUGACGAAGUAGCUCAAGGAUUCGCUAAAUGAUUGCUACUGUCCAAUUGAAAAGAAAGAAUUAGAUAUAUACGUAUUCACAAAAAAACCUUUCUCAACAUAAAAUUUGAAUCCCUAUUUUAAGAAAAUCAUUUUGUUAACAGCUUAACACUUUAAUUUUGUGAGAAAUUAAGAGUUGAAAUCUAAACAUUGCUUUCAGUUUUUUUUAAUCUAGAAAACACUAUGUCAGCUAAUUUACCUGAGAUUUACUAUGUACAGAUAUUUGAUUGUACUUCAGAUUAAAACCCUGUUUUUGUAUCCCUUAUGUUUAGUUAAUGUUGGUAAAUAAAUCAUAAAAACAGUUUAUUUAUUAACAGCACGUAUGUAGGUGUGCAUAUAAUGCAUAUAUGAGGAUACUUGUGUAUAAAAAUUAACUCUUUUUAUAAUGGUGCUUUGGAAAAAAAAAAACGAAAGAAAACUGUUGUAGCUUGAGAGUUUUAUCUUUCUAUGAAUCUUAAAAAUUACUUAAUGGGGCUAUACUAUUCAAUCAGCCAUGUUACGCAAUGAUUUAAGUACCGUUCUGCAGGCCAAGUGUAUGUGUAAGAUGUACUAAUACUUGUGAAAAUGCUUUGUUUUUUACCCCCUUUGUUUAUGCGUGGGCUUACAGUAACUAGACCAAGAUAAAAUUCUGAAAAGAGGUAAUUUUAUCACCCCUUGCAGUUUAUGCUAUAAUGUAAUAUCCAAUGCAUUUAUAGUAAAACUAUACAGAUAAAAAAUCUACAGGAUAUAUUAAUAGACAAAAAAAAACCCACAUAUCAUGCCAAAGGUUCAUAUAAAAGUCAAACACAUCACAACAUAUCUUUUUAAACUGUUACAACAGUCAUCUAUGGAACAAACCUUAAAACUCUUCUUUUAGGCACAUUUUGCUUAAAGAGUAAUUUUGCUUAAAGAGUAACUUCUGAAUUUUACAUUCAUGGAAGGACUAAAAAACAACUGCAUAUUUAUUGACAGAAUGUAGAGCACUCAUUUGAAAAAACCACCACUUAUAAUAAUUCACGUUCGUAAAUUAAAUUUAUAAUUGUAAAAAUUACUUUGGCAUUGAUUACAUUCCUAAAUAUUAUAAAUAUGUAGGCUAUGCCAAGAAUAUCCAAAAAUUGUUUGAAGGAAGAUCCUUUGAUUGUAAGUUCAGUAUAAAGACCUAAGAAAACUGUGCUCUGAAAUAAUUUUGAGUAACACAUUACGUAGUAUUCUAUUACACUUUGUAAGAAACACCAACAUUACUAAAUUUCACUUAUGAUGAAUAUUAUAUGUGACUGAAAACUAUGUGUUUAAACUUGUUAUUUGUGAUUCACAUUUUUACAUAUGAAAUGAAAAGUUUUUUUUCUUCCCCCCAGUUGUUUUGCUUACAAAUGUGCGUUACAUUUCUCAAGUUGUAUUGCCACUCCUGGAUGUUGAAAUUUUUUUUUAACAAUUGCGUUAUUAGUAAACCUUAGACAUUUAAUAGCAUUGUUACUAAAAAAAUGAGAAAUAAUACAUGCUUGUUCCUCAUUCUCUUGUUGCAUUUGAAGAUGAUAAGUGAAGUAAACCAUCCUUGAGACAAUUUCCAUCAUGAAUGUUCUUGGGACUUUUGUAUGCUCAUACAAGCAAUUUUGAAAUUCUUUAUCAAGUAUGGGAUGGUUUAAAGUUUUAAGUUAAAACAGCAAAUAAAUUUCCAUUAAUGCUUCAUUUGUGACACUUUCCGAAACUUUAAUUUUAAGACACAGUUACUUAAUUGUUGUCGUUACCUCCUUUGGGGAAAGGCAGAAUCUGGUCUCAACUCGAGCAGUACCCAGUGCUGCUGGUGAAACUCCAACUUCUUCACCACCAUCUUAAUUUUACUGUUUUUUUUUUUAACUUUUUUUUUUAGCAUAAAUAGUUAAAGGUGGUUAAUCCUAGCCAGUGAAAAAAGAAUUAACAUUCUUAAUAUUUUUCUAUGUGCUACUUUUCUUUUCUGUUAUAGCCUUGAUGUGGUCGGGGGGCUUCGGCGUUGGAUGUUUAAGCGCCACCAUUUCUAGGGGGCACUGCCCCCCGGCGGAGACUCUAACCCCUGGGCGUGACGUCGCCUGUGUGGAAACGUGACUCGUAUCCCCCUUAGCACAAUUGCCGUUAACCCCGGAACCUGUCCCACUCCCAGCGUUGGACAUGCCAUAGUUGUUGAUACAGUGGGCUCUUAUGGGCGUCCCACAUGCCGGUCUGCAGUAACUGGUUUAUACGUGGGUGGACGCAGAUAAAAACACAAUAAGUACGGUGCUGAGAUUCAAUAUAUGUCACGGUGCCACAUGCCUCUCGUACACAAUUACAAUUACUGCGAGUAUGCAUGCCUCAUAACAGCACCGCAUACCAGCCAAAGCAUUGUCCCCAGCUGGGAAUAAGGUCAUGAUCCAAAUAAUUAUAAAAAUAAUGAAAUUGAAAUAUUUUGAACUUAGUCCCUAUCACCAUUCGAAACAAUGCAAAAAAAAAUAAAUAAAUAAAUAAAUAAUGGAAAUUGAAUUAUCUAGGAGAAAAAAAGAAAAAA